AUCCCCUGCCUGCAGCACGUGCUGAUCUCCAAGGGUGAGGCUGGAUGAAGCCAGGGGCUAUGGAAAGGGAGACUGUUUCAGAGGACUUGACACCAUCUUCAGUAAUUUCUCUGGUUCUUGGCAGCUCCAUUUGGCUGCGUCCCUACCCUGCAUAACCCUCCCAGCUAGUCUACUCCAGGGCAGCGUCCAGCUGGUGACCUGAGAGGGCAGUGGCGCACCAGUCUCCAUGAAGGUUGAGCUCCGAUGGCCAACGGCCAUUUCCACCUUGUGGUCUACAACUCUUCAUCCCGACUGCAUGGAGGUUGGUCUCUCUCUUCAGCUGGAUUUAGGCCACCAUCUGAGCCCCCGGGGUACGUUUUGUCUGACCCUGGCGCCAUUCGAACGGUUCUUCUACAGCAUCAGGUGACACCCCUGCUCCCCAUUCACCCUCCGCUAUCAGUAAAAGCUUCCUCAGACCUCACCAGAAGCUGGACAGAUAGAUGCUGGUGCCAAGCUUGUACAGACUGCAGAACCAUGGGCCAAAUAAACCUCUUUUCUUUAUAAAUUGCUCAGCCUCAGGGGUCCCUUUAUAGCAAUGUGAGAAUAGACUAACACAGCAACCCAGAAGUUUGUGGAGUGAAAUCUAAAGCAGUGCUUUUAAAAGUGAGAUCCUAGGACCAGCACCACCUGUACCACAUGCAUCACCUGGGAACCUGUUAGAAAAGCAAAGCCUCAGGCUCCAUCCCAGACCACCUCAGGCAGAAGCUCUGGGGGUGGGGUCCAGGAAUCUGAGAUUUAACAAGCUCUCCAGGUGAUGCUGAUGCAUGUUCAGUUUGAAAACAAUGGACCCAGAGAGCCUCUAAAGUGCAACCUGCCCUGACAAUUUUAGUCCAAAAUCUUGCAUGGGUAAUUUAAUCUCUACAUCCU
Molecule: small RNA, 906 nt
Filed under: Homo sapiens (human)
Lineage: Eukaryota; Metazoa; Chordata; Mammalia; Primates; Hominidae
Description: PPP1R3B divergent transcript (ENSG00000285236.3)
Source: RNAcentral